AUUGAACGCUGGCGGCAUGCCUUACACAUGCAAGUCGAACGGUAACAGGUCUUCGGAUGCUGACGAGUGGCGAACGGGUGAGUAAUACAUCGGAACGUGCCUAGUAGUGGGGGAUAACUACUCGAAAGAGUGGCUAAUACCGCAUGAGAUCUACGGAUGAAAGCAGGGGAUCGCAAGACCUUGUGCUACUAGAGCGGCCGAUGGCAGAUUAGGUAGUUGGUGGGAUAAAAGCUUACCAAGCCGACGAUCUGUAGCUGGUCUGAGAGGACGAUCAGCCACACGGGGACUGAGACACGGCCCAGACUCCUACGGGAGGCAGCAGUGGGGAAUUUUGGAAAAUGGGCGAAAGCCUGAUCCAGCAAUGCCGGGUGAAGGAGGAAGGCCUUCGGGUUGUAAACUUCUUUUGUACGGAACGAAAAGCCCCGGGUUAAUACCCUGGGGUCAUGACGGUACCGAAAGAAUAAGCACCGGCUAACUACGUGCCAGCCGCCGCCGUAA
This 498-nucleotide ribosomal RNA is filed under the name uncultured bacterium. RNAcentral's name for it is "partial 16S ribosomal RNA". It matches the Rfam family "Bacterial small subunit ribosomal RNA", at positions 30 to 523 of the family's 1533-position model. The record is from RNAcentral.